Molecule: microRNA precursor, 80 nt
Organism: Bison bison bison
Lineage: Eukaryota; Metazoa; Chordata; Mammalia; Artiodactyla; Bovidae
Source: Ensembl
AAGAGCUGCUAUGACUGACAUGGACUUCUUCCUUUCUGGUCACACAGAAGUCUAGAUGUCAGGGGUACACUUAGCAAGAA